UAAAGGAAGCGAUUCCGGCUACGGAUGGUCAUGCGUCGCAUUAGCUAGUUGGCGGGGUAACGGCCCACCAAGGCGACGAUGCGUAGGGGUUCUGAGAGGAGGGUCCCCCACACUGGUACUGAGACACGGACCAGACUCCUACGGGAGGCAGCAGUGAGGAAUAUUGGUCAAUGGCCGCAGGGCUGAACCAGCCAAGUCGCGUGAGGGAUGACGGUCCUAUGGAUUGUAAACCUCUUUUGUCAGGGAGCAAAGGGCGCCACGUGUGGCGCUUUGCGAGUACCUGAAGAAAAAGCAUCGGCUAACUCCGUGCCAGCAGCCGCGGUAAUACGGAGGAUGCGAGCGUUAUCCGGAUUUAUUGGGUUUAAAGGGUGCGCAGGCGGAAUGUCAAGUCAGCGGUAAAAUUUCGGGGCUCAACCCCGUCGUGCCGUUGAAACUGGCGUUCUUGAGUGAGCGAGAAGUAUGCGGAAUGCGUGGUGUAGCGGUGAAAUGCAUAGAUAUCACGCAGAACUCCGAUUGCGAAGGCAGCAUACCGGCGCUCAACUGACGCUCAUGCACGAAAGCGUGGGUAUCGAACAGGAUUAGAUACCCUGGUAGUCCACGCAGUAAACGAUGAAUACUAACUGUCCGGGCAGAAUGAUGCCUGG
Molecule: ribosomal RNA, 644 nt
Filed under: uncultured bacterium
Lineage: Bacteria
Description: bacterial SSU rRNA
Rfam family: Bacterial small subunit ribosomal RNA
Source: RNAcentral